This 492-nucleotide ribosomal RNA is filed under the name uncultured bacterium. RNAcentral's name for it is "partial 16S ribosomal RNA". It matches the Rfam family "Bacterial small subunit ribosomal RNA", at positions 29 to 507 of the family's 1533-position model. The record is from RNAcentral.
AGUGAACGCUGGCGGUAGGCCUAACACAUGCCAGUCGAACGGCAGCACAGUAAGAGCUUGCUCUUACGGGUGGCGAGUGGCGGACGGGUGAGGAAUACAUCGGAAUCUACUUUUUCGUGGGGGAUAACGUAGGGAAACUUACGCUAAUACCGCAUACGACCUACGGGUGAAAGCAGGGGAUCUUCGGACCUUGCGCGAUUGAAUGAGCCGAUGUCGGAUUAGCUAGUUGGCGGGGUAAAGGCCCACCAAGGCGACGAUCCGUAGCUGGUCUGAGAGGAUGAUCAGCAAAACUGGAACUGAGACACGGUCCUGACGCCAACGGGAGGCAGCAGUGGGGAAUAUUGGACAAUGGGCGCAAGCCUGAUCCAGCCAUACCGCGUGGGUGAAGAAGGCCUGCGGGUUGUAAAGCCCUUUUGUUGGGAAAGAAAAGAAGCAGGUUAAUACCCCGCUGUUCUGACGGUACCAAAUGAAUAAGCACCGGCUAACUUCGUG